AUUGAACGCUGGCGGCAGGCCUAACACAUGCAAGUCGAGCGAGUGGCGGACGGGUGAGUAAUGUAUGGGGAUCUGCCUGAUGGAGGGGGAUAACUACUGGAAACGGUGGCUAAUACCGCAUACCAUCGGAUGUGCCCAGAUGGGAUUAGCUUGUAGGUGGGGUAAAGGCUAACCAAGGCGACGAUCUCUAGCUGGUCUGAGAGGAUGACCAGCCACAAUGGAACUGAGACACGGUCCAGACUCCUACGGGAGGCAGCAGUGGGGAAUAUUGCAAAAUGGGCGCAAGCCUGAUGCAGCCAUGCCGCGUGUAUGAAGAAGGCCUUAGGGUUGUAAAGUACUUUCAGCGGGGAGGCGUUACCCGCAGAAGAAGCACCGGCUAACUCCGUGCCAGCAGCCGCGGUAAUUC
This 406-nucleotide ribosomal RNA is filed under the name uncultured bacterium. RNAcentral describes it as "partial 16S ribosomal RNA". It matches the Rfam family "Bacterial small subunit ribosomal RNA", at positions 30 to 526 of the family's 1533-position model. The record is from RNAcentral.